This 465-nucleotide ribosomal RNA is filed under the name uncultured bacterium. Its description in RNAcentral is "partial 16S ribosomal RNA". It matches the Rfam family "Bacterial small subunit ribosomal RNA", at positions 28 to 507 of the family's 1533-position model. The record is from RNAcentral.
GACGAACGCUGGCGGCGUGCUUAACACAUGCAAGUCGAACGGAAAGGCCCCUUUGGGGGUACUCGAGUGGCGAACGGGUGCGUAACACGUGCGUAACCUGCCCUUGACUUCGGGAUAACUUCAGGAAACUGGGGCUAAUACCGGAUAGGAAUCCUUGCUGCAUGGUGGGGGUUGGAAAGCUUCGGCGGUUUUGGAUGGACUCGCGGCUUAUCAGCUUGUUGGUGGGGUAGUGGCUUACCAAGGCUUUGACGGGUAGCCGGCCUGAGAGGGCGACCGGCCACAUUGGGACUGAGAGACGGCCCAGACUCCUACGGGAGGCAGCAGUGGGGAAUAUUGCACAAUGGGCGGAAGCCUGAUGCAGCAACGCCGCGGGCGGGAUGACGGCCUUCGGGUUGGAAACCGCUUUCAGCAGGGGCGAAGCUUGUGGUGACGGUACCUGCAGAAGAAGCACCGGCUAACUACGUG